AACCAGCUCUUCAAGUGGUCGGGAUGAUUAUUGGGCUUAAAGUGUCCGUAGCCGGUUUAGUAAGUUCCUGGUAAAAUCAGGUAGCUUAACUAUCUGUAUGCUAGGAAUACUACUAUACUAGAGGGCGGGAGAGGUCUGAGGUACUAUAGGGGUAGGGGUGAAAUCUUAUAAUCCUUGUAGGACCACCAGUGGCGAAGGCGUCAGACUGGAACGUGCCUGACGGUGAGGGACGAAAGCCAGGGGAGCGAACCGGAUUAGAUACCCGGGUAGUCCUGGCCGUAAACGAUGCAUACUAGGUGAUGGCCCGGCCAUGAGCCGUGUCAGUGCCGUAGGGAACCGUUAAGUGUGCCGCCUGGGAAGUACGGUCGCAAGGCUAAAACUUAAAGGAAUUGGGCGGGGAGCACCACAAGGGGUGAAGCCUGCGGUUC
RNAcentral lists this ribosomal RNA (428 nucleotides) under uncultured archaeon. RNAcentral's name for it is "bacterial SSU rRNA". It matches the Rfam family "Archaeal small subunit ribosomal RNA", at positions 474 to 903 of the family's 1478-position model. The record is from RNAcentral.